GCUUCCUCACUUCAACAGCUCCAGGCGAUCUCAUUCAUGGCAGCGAUCUCGUUUUUUCCUCCAGGCCAAAUGUUUUCUUUUCAGACUUCAGAGUUCAUUCUUCGACUCUUCAUCAACAGCUCUCUGCCUCUCUCUCUUUAUUUCCAUCAUCAACGGAUCCUCUUUAGUCUUCCCUCUUCAUCAACAGCAGCAUCGAUCU
This 199-nucleotide long non-coding RNA is filed under the name Populus tremula. RNAcentral's name for it is "long non-coding RNA (PTRE_LNC002057)". The record is from RNAcentral. Lineage: Eukaryota; Viridiplantae; Streptophyta; Magnoliopsida; Malpighiales; Salicaceae.